UGACCUCAAAUCAGGUAGGAUUACCCGCUGAACUUAAGC
This 39-nucleotide ribosomal RNA is filed under the name Antrodia albida. Its description in RNAcentral is "partial 28S ribosomal RNA". RNAcentral also lists the same sequence under 2 other names. Lineage: Eukaryota; Fungi; Basidiomycota; Agaricomycetes; Polyporales; Fomitopsidaceae. The record is from RNAcentral.